CAUUUGGCUAACAAAUCGAAAAUGUCAUAACUAUUCCUAACCUAACCCCAAAAUACUAAAUUUAUUUGUUGAAUGAUAUUUUGCAAACAUCAACAUGGUUGUUGAUAAAAGUCCAAUAUCAGGCACUGUCUUAGAGCAGUUUGUCCUAUUGGCCAAAAGUGCGAAAGGUGCCGCAUGUACAGAAUUAGUGAAACAAGUUCUAGAAGCACCUGGUGUAUAUGUUUUUGGUGAACUAUUAGAUAUGCCCAACAUCUCAGAACUAGCCACAACUGAUAGAAAGUACUUUAACACGCUUGAAUUAUUCGCUUUCGGCACAUAUAAAGAUUACAUAGCAAAUAAAAAUGAAGUUCUAGAGUUGUCACCCGCUCAGACGAAGAAAUUGCAACAUCUUACUAUAGUCACUCUAGCUACAAAAUCCAAGUGCAUACCAUAUAACACAUUGCUAAUUGAGCUGGAUAUCAAAAAUGUUAGGGACUUAGAAGAUCUGAUUAUUGAAGCGAUAUAUGCCGAUAUCAUACAUGGAAAACUCGAUCAGAAAAAUAGUCAGCUUGAAAUAGAUUACGCUAUUGGUAGAGAUAUUCGUAAUGAUGAUAUUAAUAUUAUUGUUAAUUGUUUGCAAGAUUGGUGUUCAGCAUGUGAAGGUGUCCUAAGCUGCGUGGAAAACCAAAUCCACAGAGCCAACACAGAGAAAAACCGCUGCAUGCAACGCAAAACCGAGGUAGAAAACGAAAUAGUCAAUAUAAAAAAGACAUUGAAGACUCAGCUUCAAGAACGAUCUGAUGGAACUGAUGAAGUCAUGGCUACCGAUAGUCGAGAAUCGGGGUCGUCUGGAGAGAAAGGCAAGAAAUCACAGAAGAUGAAAGGUCUUAAGAUUCUUCGUUAACAUGAACUUUUCUCAAAGGUGAUACAUGAAAAAUGGUCUAGGCGCGAUUCGUAAAACUUGUUGCAGGUCUUUUAAGAAUUAUAACAAUCAACGAAGUAUACAGAAUGUCCAGAGACUCUCCCGAUAAACGAAGACGGGAGAUUCCUCAAAUAAUUUUAAGACAAUUUAACCCAAUUCACCUAAUCCGAAAAUGCUUCCUAAGGGAGCUAAAGGUCUUUGAAGAUGGCGCUUUGUAAUUAGUUUUUUAAAUACCUCCAAAAUGCUUCUAUUUAGAAAAACUAUAUUUAUUAUAUUUAGAAAAACGAAAAAUUUUCAAAUCGAUUUUUCUAAAAAACAUUGUAUUGUACUGACUUAAAGCGAGAGUACCUUUUAGCCUUGUUUAUAUCUUAUCUAAUAGUUGGUUAGACCAAUAGGUAAAUUUGUUUGAUUCUAAUUGAGACAGUCAACAGAUGUCACCACAAUUUCUGUCAGGGUCGCAACGUCACGCGUAACUAAGGAGGUACAGUACAACCUCGUUUAACCGGACUAACUGGGACCGGAAGCGAUCCGGUAAAUCGAAAAUCCGGAAAUAUAAUAAGGUUAAUAAAUCUACAUGUGAAAUGAUAACUUACUAUAUUUACACCCUAUAUGAUUUACGCAAGCAUUAGUUUUUAUUUACAAAAAAGUCAUUGAUCUUCCUUUGUUUUAAUUUUGUGUGACGUUUCAAUGCGGCACGAUCACGUAAACGUGAUCGCAUUACAUACAUACAUACAAUUAUCAAAAUUAGUUUUUUUUUUAUUUUUUCAUUCCGGAUUGAUUCGGAUAAUCCGGACAUCCGGAUGAAAGAGGUCUGGAUUAACGAGGUUGUACCAUCCAAAAUGCAUAGACACCAAGUUGGAUACGAUCCUAUUCAUAACACCCAAACCCGCAUACAUUUUAUGAAAAAUAAAUAUAUGGAAGAAUAUAUUUAGAAAUUGAAUUAAUGAUGUCAUGCUUCUAUACAUUAUAUAAUAGCAUGCCAUCAUUAAUUCAAUUUGUAAGUAUAGUAUUUUUACUACAAAAACGUUAUUACGUAGGUCAAAAUUUUUGACGUAAGAGAACUGUCAAAACAUUAGAAUGUGACUUUUCAUUAUUGCCAUGUUUAUAAUAAACAUGACAAUAAUGAAAGUCACAUUCUAAUGUUUUGACAGUUCUCUUACGUCAAAAAUUUUGACCUACGUAAUAACGUUUUUGUAGUAAAAAUACUAUAUGUAUAUUCUUCCAUAUUUAUUUUUCUUAAUAUGUAUGCGAGUCGGAUGUUAUGAAUAGGAGCGACCCUGACAAAAAUGGUGGUGACAUCUGACUGUCUCAAUUAGAAUCAAAUAAAUUUAUCUAUUGGGUUGACCAACUAUUACUAUAUAAACAAUGCUUUUAGUAAUAGACCUCACAAGUUAAUAACCUAAUGUCACAAAUACAUAAAAGUUAUAUGUUAAAAUAAUCGUUGACCUACCCAAAACGGACGGCUAUGGUCGGUACUAGAAAUUCGUAAUUGACGGAAUCGAUUCAUCUCUGAAGGAUAAAAUAAAUAAGUAUAAGUGUACCAGUUUUCGUUUUUCUAAAUAGAAGCGUUCUGGAGGUAUUUAAAAAAACUAAUUACCAGGCGCCAUCUUUAAAGAGCUCUAGCUUAAGCUGAGCAUUCACGGUCAAUCCAUUUGGAGCCACGCCAAAUGGCUUCAGUCAAAUGGAUUGACGCCAAAAUCGUAGCCCAUUCACGACCACUCCACAUUGUCGGAUUCCGAAGAAGAACUCGGAUAGAGUGAACGAAAAAUGGACGUGGGUUUGGACAUUGACGCGAGUGUGGCGUGAUGGCAUGACGCGGUGUAUAGUCACUCACGAGCAGUCGGCAUGAUGGCUUGGCGUCAAGCAACGGCAUGACGCGAUGUAUUACGAAGCGAAUGGAAAUCCGGAUUUUGCAUCACGCCAAAAAAGCAAUCAUAAUUCAACACUCACGGUCAAAAUUUGGCUGUGUAUCACGCCAUUUGACGCGAUAGCAUGACCGUAAAUGUCCACCUUUAGGAAGCAUUUUAGGACUAGGUGAAUUGGUUUAAACUGUCUUCUUUUAUCAGGAGACUUUCUGGAUACUCUGUAUAUCAAUAGAUUUUAGUACAUAAAAUACAACACUUAUGGUCAGAACAAGUUGAAAUGAAUUCAAAGUUAAAUGAUUAACCGGAAGAUUUUUAUAUUUCUUGAAAUUUGAGUGACUAAGGAAACAUUUUCAUGUAUCAUUUUUGAAUUGUCUUAGGUUAUCACUUAAUAAAGCUACAAUUAUAAUUGCGAAAAUAUAUUAAAUAAUAAAAAACA
Molecule: unclassified non-coding RNA, 3202 nt
Filed under: Diabrotica virgifera virgifera (western corn rootworm)
Lineage: Eukaryota; Metazoa; Arthropoda; Insecta; Coleoptera; Chrysomelidae
Description: cOP9 signalosome complex subunit 7b
Source: RNAcentral